UACGUAGGGGGCAAGCGUUGUCCGGAAUUAUUGGGCGUAAAGCGCGUGUAGGCGGCUCGGUAAGUCUGCUGUGAAAGUCCAAGGCUCAACCUUGGAAUGCCGGUGGAUACUGUCGAGCUCGAGUCCGGAAGAGGCGAGUGGAAUUCCUGGUGUAGCGGUGAAAUGCGUAGAUAUCAUUUGGAACGCCAAUGGUGAAAACAACUCGCUGGGGAAGUGCUGACGCUGAGACACGAAAGCCAGGGGAGCGAACGGG
Molecule: ribosomal RNA, 253 nt
Filed under: uncultured bacterium
Lineage: Bacteria
Description: partial 16S ribosomal RNA
Rfam family: Bacterial small subunit ribosomal RNA
Source: RNAcentral